RNAcentral lists this ribosomal RNA (1905 nucleotides) under freshwater metagenome. Its description in RNAcentral is "bacterial LSU rRNA". It matches the Rfam family "Bacterial large subunit ribosomal RNA", at positions 488 to 2301 of the family's 2925-position model. The record is from RNAcentral.
UAGUGAACCAGUACCGCGAGGGAAAGGUGAAAAGAACCCCGGGAGGGGAGUGAAAUAGUACCUGAAACCGUUGGUUUACAAGCAGUCAGAGAGUCGUUGUACCGUUCGCGGUGCAGCCUCGAUGGCGUGCCUUUUGAAGAAUGAGCCUACGAGUUACGGUAUGUGGCGAGGUUAACCCGAGAGGGGUAGCCGAAGCGAAAGCGAGUCUGAACAGGGCGUUCAGUCGCAUGCUGUAGACCCGAAGCCAAGUGAUCUUGCCAUGGUCAGGUUGAAACGGGGGUAAGACCCCGUGGAGGACCGAACAGGUACCAGUUGAAAAUGGUUCUGAUGAACUGUGGUAAGGGGCGAAAGACCAAUCAAACUUGGCGAUAGCUGGUUCUCCUCGAAAUGCAUUUAGGUGCAGCGUUGCACGUUCAAUUCCGGAGGUAGAGCACUGGAUGGGCUAGAGGUCCAACAAGAUUAUCGACCCCAGCCAAACUCCGAAUUACGGAAUUCCAGAGUGCAGCAGUGAGACCAUGGGGGAUGAGCUUCAUUGGUCGAAAGGGAAACAGCCCAGAUCAUCAGCUAAGGCCCCAAAUUCAGGACUAAGUGUAAAACGAUGUGAAAUUGCUUAGACAGCCAGGAGGUUGGCUUAGAAGCAGCCACCCUUGAAAGAGUGCGUAACAGCUCACUGGUCGAGUGAUUUUGCGCGGACAAUGUAACGGGGCUCAAGUCCUGAGCCGAAGCUAUGGAUUGCAACGAGAUUCGUCUCGUUGCAGUGGUAGAGGAGCGUUGAUGGAGUGCCGAAGCGACGAGGUAACUCGGCGUGGAGUUCCAUCAAGUGAGAAUGUAGGUAUGAGUAGCGAGAGAGGGGUGAGAAACCCCUCCGCCGAAUGCCCAAGGUUUCCUGGGGAAGGCUAAUCCUCCCAGGGUAAGUCGGGAGCUAAGGAGAGGCCGCGAGGCGUAUCCGAUGCACAACUGGUUGAUAUUCCAGUACCGCCGUGUACACGUCAAGCCCAAUUUCGAUAAAGCGGAGGCUGCCUUCGGGCGAAUCCGCGUAGUUGAAGGCGGGUAACUAAUGCGGGACACAGCAGGAUAGGUGAUCCGGAUUAAUGGAUUUCCGGGUAAGCGCGUAGGUGGGUUGCGAUGAAAGUCGCGGCCGUAACACCGAGACGCAAUACCGACCUCGUUUGAGGGAAGUCACUGAUUCCACACUGUCGAGAAAAGCGCAGUAGUGAGUUGACACGGCGCCCGUACCCCAAACCGACUCAGGUGGGCGCGUAGAGAAUACGAAGGCGAUCGGGAGAACUGUGGUUAAGGAACUCGGCAAAUUACCUCCGUAACUUCGGGAUAAGGAGGACCCAUGAUGGUAAGAGACUUCGCGUCUCGAAGCCAAUGUGGGUGUCACAAACUAGGGAGCAGCGACUGUUUAACAAAAACACAGCAGCGUGCCAAGCCGCAAGGCGAUGUAUACGCUGUGACGCCUGCCCAAUGCUGGAAGGUCACGAGGAUGAGUUAGCCGCAAGGCGAAGCUUUGAAUCUAAGCCCCAGUGAAUGGCGGCCGUAACUAUAACGGUCCUAAGGUAGCGAAAUUCCUUGUCGGGUAAGUUCCGACCUGCACGAAUGGCGUAACGACUUCCCCGCUGUCUCAACCGUAGACCCGGCGAAAUUGAAGUACGAGUAAAGAUGCUCGUUUGCUGCGGAAGGACGGAAAGACCCCGUGGACCUUUACUAUAACUUGAUGUUGAGCUUCGACUUGCGCUGUGUAGGAUAGGUGGGAGGCUGUGAAGCGAGUGCGCUAGCACUUGUGGAGCCAUUGGUGAAAUACCACCCUGCGUAAUUUGGAGCUCUAACCUCGGCCCGUGAUCCGGGUCAGGAACAGCGUCAGGCGGGUAGUUUGACUGGAACAUAUCGUGACUGGGAAAC